Molecule: long non-coding RNA, 1282 nt
Organism: Cyprinus carpio (common carp)
Lineage: Eukaryota; Metazoa; Chordata; Actinopteri; Cypriniformes; Cyprinidae
Source: RefSeq, a predicted model, not a curated record
CAGAGAUCUAGGUCUCCGUUCACCAUGAAUCAGAGACGUACCGGCCAGCGUUGAUGACAGCGGCGUCAGAUCCUGAGCAGAUGUCCUCCAGGAUGAAGAAACUUUCAUCACAGGAGGUAUUGAGAGUUUUGGCCCAAAAAAAAAAAAAACCCUGCACAUUCCAUUGGGGCCUAAAGGUAAUGAAAUAAAGGAGUGAAAAAAAGAAAUCUACAAGAAAUGUGACCUACCCACAAACCUGACACCUCGGCGGACGAAAGAGUUAAAGUUGCAGCCGGCAGCGUUGAUGUCAGCUUCAGCUCCUCCUCUGCACUGUGCCCGGGACAAACAGCAGAACAGAAUCCCCUCUCCGAUCAUGAUCUGUGGACAUGCAACAUACCAGGUUGCCAGGUGAGGAGUUUAAAUCCCAGUGGGAUCAUGGAAUUGAAAUCAGCUGUGCUGCACGCUCCGGCCUAGUGGGGGAGGUGCUAAGGAUACGAUCUAAACAUUGGCAAGACCAUGUGCCACACCGUGACCUGAAUCAGAUCCCAGGAAGCCCGCAGAUUCCACCAUCCCAUCCCAUCUGACCAGAUCGGGCUCUCAGACGCUCAUAUUGUGUCAUGACACCUGGAGGAACCACAGGACGUCUCAGUGCCUGUGGUCACUUCCUGCCUGAUGCUAAAUCUGGCCUUUGUAGGUAAACAGAUUGUAACCCAAAAAUGGGCUAAAGAAAGGACGGAGUGGAUCAUUACCUGACAGCCUAAAUGUGUUUUUAGACACACUUCACUGUGCAUUUGUAUGCAGCUGAACUUGUUAGAAUAAGAUGCAAAUGUGGUCAGAGCUCUCUAUGCCUGCAACUCAAAGUCAAUUAUUUAAUUACCUAAAAUAGCAAGCAUAGUGGUCACAUCCUGCAGAGAAAAGUACAUUGGGUGUCUUUGUACUGCUAGCCAUUUUAGUCGUUCAGUCAAUGCUUUCUGUUUCUCUUUCCUCUACGAAUGAAAAAACACAUUCUUUGCAAGUUUUUGUCCUGAAAAAGUCUCCUUUGUACUUUUAGAAGAGAACAUCACAAACUGCUCAGAUUUGCAAAAGAAUGUCCGAGAUGUACUAACCUAUGAACAUUUUUUCAUGAAAUUCUCCCAAGGCCUGAUCAUCAAUCCAUACUAAUUUUAUAGAGCUAUACUCAAGUGUUUCAGCAAGUUUUAUGAAAGUAAAUUUAAGACUUAAAUGUAAAAUUAAAGACCUUUUUAACACAAAUUAAAGGGGUGGUUGAUCAGCUUUUUCGAAAGCUUGAUUGUGUUUAUGGGGU